This 432-nucleotide ribosomal RNA is filed under the name uncultured bacterium. RNAcentral's name for it is "partial 16S ribosomal RNA". It matches the Rfam family "Bacterial small subunit ribosomal RNA", at positions 28 to 507 of the family's 1533-position model. The record is from RNAcentral.
GAUGAACGCUGGCGGUAUGCUUAACACAUGCAAGUCGAACGGUCACUUCGGUGAUAGUGGCGGACGGGUGAGUAACGCGUGAGAAUCUGUCUUCAGGUCGGGGACAACAGUUAGAAAUGACUGCUAAUACCGGAUGUGCCUUUGGGUGAAAGAUUUAUUGCCUGAAAAAGAGCUCGCGUCAGAUUAGCCAGUAGGUGGUGUAAGAGACUACCUAGGCUCCGAUCUGUAGCUGGUCUGAGAGGACGAUCAGCCACACUGGAACUGAGACACGGUCCAGACUCCUACGGGAGGCAGCAGUGGGGAAUUUUCCGCAAUGGGCGAAAGCCUGACGGAGCAAUACCGCGUGAGGGACGAAGGCUUUUGGGUCGUAAACCUCUUUUCUCAAGGAAGAUGAUGACGGUACUUGAGGAAUAAGCAUCGGCUAACUCUGUG